UCUCUCCCCCUCUCCCACCCGCCCUCUCCAGUAUUGAGGACCGAUGAACCCAGGGGCCCUCUACCGCUGAGCCACAGCCCCGGCCCUUUAAUAAAGCUUUUAGACCUUAUUAUAUUUUAUAAACACGACAGGUAGAUGUUUGAUCCCACAAUAUGAACCACAUAAAUGUGAACUUUAUAUUCUGUGGCCCGCAGUCUUCACCCUUGGUGUGAAUUGUCACUGUUUCUGGGACUAUCUGUGUUCUUCAGCACCUUCAUGCUCCUGAAACUAAUCACAAAUGUGCACACAUGUCAAUUUUUUGCCCUCUGUUCCUUUAAAUUAAAACCACGGAGCAUAGGUUACUGAGGCAGGAUUGCAUUCAGCGCCUACAAGCAGCACCUUAAAUAAGAAAUGAGGCCCAUUGUUCUCCGAUGACGUGAAGUUCAGGGUUAGGUGGUGCCAACUGCUGCCAUUGCACUAGCGCACGCUACCCCUCUUUUAAUUAUUUAGUUAUUUAUUCUUGUACCAGGGAUUGAACCCAGGGGUGCUUUGCUACUGAGCCACAUCCCCAGCCCUUUUUAUUUUUUAUGCUAAAACAGGGUCUCACUAAGUUGCUGAGGCUGGCCUUGAACUUGCCAUCCUCCUGUUUCAGCCUCCUGAAUCACUGGGAUUACAGGUGUGGACCACUGUGCCUGGUAGAAGGAAUAGUCUCUAAUGCUUUAGAGAAC
RNAcentral lists this long non-coding RNA (707 nucleotides) under Marmota monax (woodchuck). Lineage: Eukaryota; Metazoa; Chordata; Mammalia; Rodentia; Sciuridae. The record is from RNAcentral.